UGUUAUAAUUUCAUUAGUUUAAUUUUAAAAAUAUAACUCUGAAGAAGUUAAGAUUUAUGAGAUA
Molecule: transfer RNA, 64 nt
Filed under: Paramacropostrongylus typicus
Lineage: Eukaryota; Metazoa; Nematoda; Chromadorea; Rhabditida; Strongylidae
Description: tRNA-Phe
Source: RNAcentral